CACAACUCCGGUGGCACAAAUUCAAUGUUGUGGACAAUUGCAGAUGAACAGGAAUGUGACACCUCUUUGAUCAGAAGAGCAACAGAUACUUUGAGAACAUCAGGAGGGAAUCUAAGUUGUCAGAAGACAAAGUGGAAGAGGAUCGGAGGGCCAAAGCUCUCAACAACCGAAGACAUAGACUUUUCAAUUCACGCCGAUCUGCUGCUCGCUCAUCUUAACCAAUGAGGAGUACAGAUACCU
Melanotaenia boesemani (Boeseman's rainbowfish) is the source of this 240-nucleotide long non-coding RNA. RefSeq lists it as uncharacterized. The transcript has 3 exons. The record is from RefSeq and is a predicted model, not a curated record. NCBI's taxonomy places the organism in Eukaryota, Metazoa, Chordata, Actinopteri, Atheriniformes, Melanotaeniidae.